Molecule: ribosomal RNA, 350 nt
Filed under: uncultured bacterium
Lineage: Bacteria
Description: partial 16S ribosomal RNA
Rfam family: Bacterial small subunit ribosomal RNA
Source: RNAcentral
CCUACGGGUGGCAGCAGUGAGGAAUAUUGGUCAAUGGACGAGAGUCUGAACCAGCCAAGUAGCGUGAAGGAUGACUGCCCUAUGGGUUGUAAACUUCUUUUAUAUGGGAAUAAAGUGAGGCACGUGUGCCUUUUUGUAUGUACUUUAUGAAUAAGGAUCGGCUAACUCCGUGCCAGCAGCCGCGGUACUACGGGGGAUCCGAGCUUUAUCCGGAUUUAUUGGGUUUAACGGGAUCGUAGAUGGGUUGUUAAGUCAGUUGUGAACGUUUGCGGUUCAACCGUAAAAUUGCAAUUGAUACUGGAGGUCUUGGGUAAAGUGAGGGGGGGCGGAAUUCGGGUGGAGGGGGUGAA